CUUUCAGUCUUUAUCUAUGGUUCCGAAUUGAGGCGGAGUCACGCAAGUUCAUAUUCACAGUUCAUAUCAUAGAGUAGGGCUGCAACUGGCUGACCGGCGACUGACGGCACUAAAAUUUCGAGUUUUCGGCCAAGAAGUUCUGAGCAUGUGCAAAACGUGGAGGACAUAGUGAAAAUAAAAUAAGGGUCGGUUACGUCAGUUUUGUCCUUUUUUAACUUUCAGAACAACGCGGCUGGAUAUUAUGCUUGAAUUGCUAAGUUGACUUUGUUAAAUGAAAUUAACCUAUGAAUUCAAUUUAACCUUAUUUUAACCACGUUUCCCAUUGAUCGGACGAGUUAAAAUAAUUUCAUAUUUCUAAUACCUGUCAUAGAGAAAGUAAAAUAAGAGAGGUGGCGGUAUAAUGUUAAAACUUGGAACCGUGUUGCGCUACAACCGGCUGACCGUCAGUAACGGGAAGCUUUGACGGUAAAAACAGGUAUCUAGAUUAUCGGCUAGUUAGAAGCGGGAAUUUUAAAUUUUUAAAGGUACAAAAUACUUCGGGUACACAAAAUUCGGUGUCUACACAUGUUCUCUCGGUUAUUAAUGGUAAUAGAAAAUGUGCUGUUUACUCAACAGGGUGCAAACAAAUUCCUAUUUCCAUUCAUAAUGAACCGAGACUACAAUGUGUAAGGACAUCGAAAUUGUAACACUCAGAACACAAUUUUGAUCCACAUUUAAGGGGAUCCAUGACAGGGAAUGAAAUAAUAUAUACCUAGAUCAAAAUAAAAUAACAUUUAUUAAGUAAAAAAACAAAUUGUCUUCCAAAGAGUCCCAAAAGGAUGAACUGGGUAACUAAACUUGUGCCCUAUAGGAGUAGGAAUCCCCACCAGAAGUCUACUACUCAUGUGCUGCAGGAUUCUAUUCCAUGCAGAACUAUUAAAUAACAACAAAUUUGGCCAGGCAAAGUCCUAUUUCUAAGCCGUUCUUUUAGAAGAAAGAGCCAUUAUUUCAAAGCAUUUUCUGCGACGAUUAAUAUCUUUAUUUGGAUCAGAGAAUUCGAAUAACCGUUUUUUUGCGUAGUUUUCAAGAUUACCCUCUUUA
Molecule: long non-coding RNA, 1080 nt
Organism: Dendroctonus ponderosae (mountain pine beetle)
Lineage: Eukaryota; Metazoa; Arthropoda; Insecta; Coleoptera; Curculionidae
Exons: 2
Source: RefSeq, a predicted model, not a curated record